RNAcentral lists this long non-coding RNA (213 nucleotides) under Mytilus galloprovincialis (Mediterranean mussel). The record is from RNAcentral. Lineage: Eukaryota; Metazoa; Mollusca; Bivalvia; Mytilida; Mytilidae.
AUCAGUGACGCUCAGAUCAAAAUAGUUAAAAAGCCGAAUAAAUACAAAGUUGAAGAGCAUUGAGGAUCCAAAAUUCCAAAAAGUUGUGCCAAAUACGGCUAAGGUUAUCUGCUCCUGGGGUAAGAAAAUCCUUAGUUUUUCGAAAAAUUCAAAGUUUUGUAAACAGAAAAUUUAUAAAAAUGACCAUAUAAUUGAUAUUCAUGUCAACACCGA